Molecule: ribosomal RNA, 348 nt
Filed under: uncultured Spirotrichea
Lineage: Eukaryota; Ciliophora; Spirotrichea
Description: SSU rRNA
Rfam family: Eukaryotic small subunit ribosomal RNA
Source: RNAcentral
UAAUUCUAGAGCUAAUACAUGCUGUUGCGCCCGACUCACGAAGGGCCGUAUUUAUUAGAUAUCAGCCAAUAAGCUUCUGCUAUUGUGGUGACUCAUAGUAACUUAAUCGGAUCGCAUGGGCUUGCCCCGCGACAAACCAUUCAAGUUUCUGCCCCAUCAUGCUUUCGAUGGUAGUGUAUUGGACUACCAUGGCUUUCACGGGUAACGGAGGAUUAGGGUUCGAUUCCGGAGAGGGAGCCUGAGAAACGGCUACCACUUCCACGGAAGGCAGCAGGCGCGUAAAUUACCCAAUCCUGAUUCAGGGAGGUAGUGACAAGAAAUAAUGGGUCGGGGUUCUGCCCCGGGACU